UACGCGGAAGUGAUUAUGUUGCAUGACUUUUUAAUGAACUGCAAACAACUCUAAAUGUGUCGAUUACAGUAAGUUAAUUUAUUUAAUAUGCCAUGUACAUACAAAUGCCCAGCCCAUGGAUUUAUAAUCACCAAAAAUGCCGUUGCAGUGGUGAAACAUUUGUCAGACUCCUGUCUGAUAUAACUUCUCUCAUGUAACAUCAGAGUAGAGUAGAGUAAAGCUUAAAUGUCCCUAAGGAGCACUUUGGCUUACAGACAUCCGUCAAUAAUGACACAUACAGAGAAGUACAGGGGGGAAAAAAACAAACAAACAAUACAAUUAAAAAGUGCUCAAGUACAAAGGUUAACACCGACUUCACUGUUGUCAUUGUCACUAGUCACCAAAAGAAUCUAGCCCAUGUCAUGGGUGACACAAUAAAGUCCAAGACUUGUUUCCAUUGUGGUCCUUAAAGCAAGGAGAGUUAAGAUCCAGGCAUCCAAGUGACCUGGUGACAUCAUACUUCCAACAAACCAACACAAUAAAUACCUCUAUCUUCAUAUAUUAAGUCACUCCAAGUCAAACAACAAAAAAGAAAUUAUAAAAAGUUACAUACAAAUUAUAAUUAGGAUGAUAAUCACUCUCAAGUUUCCUGUAAAAUAUAAUUUGACCUUUUUUUAAAAUUGUGGACGCUUUUUUUUUUUUUUUUUUACUGUGCAAAGGUAAUAUAUUCCAAUUCCUGGCACCAGAGAACAUCAAGGAACAGGCACACAUGUUGGUAUUGGAUAAUUUUCAUAAUUGAAUAAUCUGCUGAUUAUUUUCCAGAUUAAUCAAUUAAUCGUUUGGUCUAUAAAACAUGUGACACAAUACACACAAUACAACACAAUUUCCUAGAGGCCAAAGUGAUUUCAUCAAAUGUCUUAUGUCCACACAGAGAUAUUUAAUUUACCAUAAUGUUAAGACAAGUCUCACAAUAGAGAGAAUGUUUGGCAUUUUUGCUUGAAAAAUUACCUAAAGAAUGAAUCGAUUAUCAAAGUAUUUUCUGAUUAUUUUUUGUCGAGUGAUUAAUCGACUAAUCACGCAGCUCUAGUUGGUAUCAGCAAGCAGAAGUCGGCCCCCACUAGUUCUAGUGUGGUAGUUAUGAGUUCCCCCAACACCAGUCUGCAUUGGUCAAAUUUAGCUUACUUCACACUGAUUAUAUUUUGAGAUCUUCAUUCAGCCAGACUGGCAGAACUACUGGUGACCACUUUUAUCAGCUCAUGAGUUCGGAUGUACAAAUCCCUAGUGUUCUUAAACUAAGUACAAACUUGGCUCAGAUGUCAGAGGAAAGGUCAAACACGCUGAUGGCCAUGCUGAUCUGCAGGUUCCUACAGUCUUUGUGCCACGUAUCUGUUGUGGAAAAACUAAGUCCCCAGGAUUUAGUGUGCUGGAGCCUGUUUCCUAUUGGUUCUAUAUUCUGUCCAUUUUCCUUGAUCCACUGACCGCCUGAGAAGGACUCUGUGUCAAAAUUAGUGUCUUCUCUGUUGCUGUAACAGGAGAUUAUUGUGAAGGUCAAGCACUUACUAAACAAAAGGUCUUGAAAAAAAGAUCUCAACGAGACGAGACGACCGGAUUAAAUAAAAGUUUAAAUCUGCCCAGGUGGAUGGACAUUUGAAGUCAUACAGGUAAAAAUAGGCUUCAUAUUCAUUAACACAGUCACGCAUGGUAUGUGCAAAAUUUUCCUUCUUUAUAAAGCUGCAGUUAUGUUACCAUGCCAGCAGAGGGAGCGCUCUGACAGCACGGACUCCUCUUCAAUCACUGAUAUACAAUACUCUGUCCAUAGUCCAGUGAGUUAUUUUAAAUAUAUAUAUAUAUAUAUAUUCCACCACUGUUUUAUGAUUGCAAACAAGAGUCAUACAACACCUAAGUAAGUAAUGUAAGUGAGUUUUCCUCCUAGAUUUUUGUAAUUACCAGUAAUCCUCUACUUGUUUCAUAAGUGUUUGUACUCAGAAUAUAUAAGUUUAGUUUUAUAAGACAUACUCAAUUACUAUUCCAACCUGUACAUUUACAUGCUACUCUGGUGUGACCUGUUUAUGUGUCUUUCAGCAAUAUUUCCUUUAGAGCUGAGGCCUUCAUCACUUUUUCAUUAGAUUCAUGUUUCUCCUCUUCAAACUGUUGUAGUGGAAAGUUACUACUUAACCCAACAAAAGUGUAAAUGUCAAAGUAAUUGAAACUCUGUCAUGUACCUGUAUUACUUCAAAGUACUUUGCCAUAUUCGAAGAGGACAGUUAUAGUUAUAAUCUUGAAAAUCUUAGAGCUAUAAAAAGUAAUGAAAUCAGGAGAUCUUUCAGAUUUGCAUACAAACUCAAAAUAUCUAUUGUGCCACAUUUUUUAUAAUGACACAGAACACCUGACAUUAUGUAAAGAACUUUCUGAUUUUAUUUUAGGUAAAUAGAUAUUUGUAUUUACAAUAUAAGAAAUCUGUCAGUACUCAACACAGCUCUUCACUCAUGCAGAUUAAGAACCUGUUAACCUUCCUAGUAACAGUACAGUACAAGAAAACCACAUUGUGCCAUUUCAGUGUAUUUCUUGCUUGGGUUAAACGUUUACAUGAUUAUUUAUGCACUGAUGGACUUUCAUGACUCUCAAUCCAAAUAAAGCUCCAAUAUAUACAUCUAAAACACGUGUCAGUGUGGAAAGUAUUCUUUCCGUCACUAUUAUAAACCUUGCUUCCUAAACAGACAAAUUUUUCCCCGUCAUCGCUGUGGCUCAGACUUGCAGAUCCACAGCCGACUGGCGAGCUGUGCUAAUCCUUUAAAGCAGAGCUGCCUUUCUUCCAGACCAGCCACCGUUUACUGUAAACUUACAGCUGAGAUGGGAAUGGCAGAAUUAGAGGGAAAUAAUAAUAGGGACCAAAUGAGGUUAGAGGAUCCACUUGAGUUAUCUGGAGAAGACGGGCUGACUGUCAGUGUCAGUGGAGCUGUGAUGAAAGUGUGUGGAGUGGUUUACAGAAACAGUAUUACACUACACAGCACUUUUGUACUGUUUAUACACAUUACACUAAAUACUGUGGGCUAAAGCAUUUUCAUCAUCAUUUAAUCAACAUUUUAUCCCACUAAACACAGUCUGUUUCAGCACUGUCGUCACUAUUCAACCACCCUUUUAUCCUAGGAACCUGUGUUUUGUGUGUGUGGCUGUGCACUCUGGAGCACUCUUCUGCACUGUAGAGAUUUGUUUUCUGUUACCCACAGAGCCCCUUCCCUCCCAAAUCAGAGCCCCCAUUGCCUCUUUGAAAUUGGUUGCCACGGUAACCCGCUUGCUCCUCAGCCAUAUCUGGAACAAGGAGGAGGAGAGAAGAGGAGAGGUCUGCAGCAUUACGCCUGUGACAUGCUCUGAGAGCGGUGAGAGAUAGAGAGGGAGGGAGGAAGAGGACGUAUGUGUGUAUUCAAGACAUCAGAACCUUCCUCCGAAUCCUCGCACAGAGAAAAAUAGAUUCCUCAUGCCUCGCAACACUCGAUGUCUCAGCUGCGUCUUGUCAGAACACUGAACGCCUUGUUGUCCCGUCAGCGUCCAGACCAAAACACUGGAAAAAUUGUUGCCUAUUCAUUCACAAUGGGACAAAGCACUUGAUACAUGAUACUUGAUGCACCGCAGAGAAAACGCUGCCGUCUUUGCAUUCGCUUUCAAAGACGGACACAUAUUUAGGUUCAUAUUCAUUCUCAAGUGCAGAUGAAGCGGCACACAAUUCAUUUAGCAUAUUUUUUGCUGUGGUUGUGUACUGGCUGUUUGCACCAUACUACAUGUAUUCACAGUUAGAUUUAAUAGUAAAUCAUCAUGAAGCUUAAAGGAUAGGUCUGGCAAUAUUCAACAAAUCCCAUGAAAAGACCAAAACUAAGAAUGUGUUAGACCGUCUCACAACACUUUUCAACUUCCCCAGCAUGUCUGUGACACUCAGCCCCAAGACUACUGGUUCCUACUGAAGACAUAAAUCUUUAAAAAACAAAACACAAAUAUUUACUUACAUUCUUAUUAAGGGCAAAAUAAUUAAUUAUUUUUAUUAUUGAUAAAUCUGCCGAUUAUUUUCUGGAUUAAUCGACUGGUUUAUAAAAUGUUAAACAAUAGUAAAAAAAAAAAUAGCAUUCAAAAUUUCUCAGAGGCCACAGUGAUGUCUUUAUUUGCGUGUUUUGUCUGACUAACAGUCCCAAACCUUAAGAUAUUCUAUUUACUGUCAUAUAUGACAAAGAAAAGCAGCAAAUUUUCACAUUUCAAAAGCUGGAAUCAGAGAAUUCUUGGCAUUUUUGCUUCAAAAAUGGUUAAAACAAUUAGUCAGUUAUCAAAAUAGUUGCCAAUUAAUUUUCUGUUGAAUCGCCUAAACAGUUACCUCAAACAGUUGGGCGCUGUAGGAAAUCUAUGGCUAUUUAAGCCGUAGAUUUUGUGUGCUAAUGAGUAUGUUCAUGGUAAUGAAGGAACGUGUCGCUCAGUGCAACCGUGUGUCUCAUGGAUGUGUUUUAAAUAGUUUAAGGACAAAAAUGGCAUUUUCCAGAUUUAAAGGUCUUGGCUCUGUGUGAAAACAAGACCCCUGAGUACCGGCCUUUCAAGCAUAAUGCAGUUUUGUUAUGCCUCUGACUAAACGUUGUCACAUGACACUAUGCAACCAUGCUGAUCGCAAUCACGCUCCUCGAGCUUGGUUACCAUGGUUACAUAAAGCUUGGGCUUCAUGCUCCGGCAAAAUCCUCUUGAUACCAAAGAAUUAAUUUCAGUUCAUGUAGAAACUAAAAAAAAAAGCAACGCUCUAUCAACAAAUGAGAGACAGACAGGGGAGGAAGAGGUACCGUUAAAUAGAUGAUUUCUUUAAUAAAAGACAUUACAGUGUGACAUUCAGUGAUGAGCUGGAAUGAUAUUGCUUUAGUAGCUUACAGUACAGAACCCAGCCCGGCCAGUAUGUGUUAUAACAUUAUAUUUUGACACCAGUUUGUCAUCAAACAUACUAAUCCCCUGGAGAACACAAGUCUCUCCAGUUUUACGCUGUUACUCUACAUUCAAAUCCACUCGAAAUGAUGAAAAGAAACCGUGUACACACAAU
Long non-coding RNA from Siniperca chuatsi (mandarin fish), 5038 nucleotides. RefSeq lists it as uncharacterized. The transcript is spliced from 2 exons. The record is from RefSeq and is a predicted model, not a curated record. Lineage: Eukaryota; Metazoa; Chordata; Actinopteri; Centrarchiformes; Sinipercidae.